ACCUUAAAUAUAUCUGGGAUGGAACAAUAUUGCGAAGAAAGGGAAAUAUGGUCGUUGGCAGCAAUACAGAUCUCAGGAGGGAUCUUCUCCAAUAUUUCCAUAAUAGUCCAUUGGGGGGCCACUCUAGAAUACCUGCCACAUGACAUUGCAUCUCCAGUUUAGUUUACUGGAACGGUCUAUUAAAAAGAUCUUAAGAACUGGAUGCAGGAGUGUUUAACUUGUCAAAUAUGCAAAGUAGACCUCGCAACCUCCUCUGGUCUCCUUCAGCCUCUACCAAUCCCCGAUCAGGCUUGGUCUGCCAUUAGUAUGGACUUUAUUGAGGGAUUACCCCCAUCCAAGGGAAAGAACACAAUAAUGGUCGUGGUUAACCAACUC
Molecule: long non-coding RNA, 375 nt
Filed under: Gossypium barbadense (sea-island cotton)
Lineage: Eukaryota; Viridiplantae; Streptophyta; Magnoliopsida; Malvales; Malvaceae
Description: long non-coding RNA (GBAR_LNC015569)
Source: RNAcentral